This 453-nucleotide ribosomal RNA is filed under the name uncultured Thiobacillus sp. RNAcentral's name for it is "bacterial SSU rRNA". It matches the Rfam family "Bacterial small subunit ribosomal RNA", at positions 923 to 1382 of the family's 1533-position model. The record is from RNAcentral. Lineage: Bacteria; Pseudomonadati; Pseudomonadota; Betaproteobacteria; Nitrosomonadales; Thiobacillaceae.
GCACAAGCGGUGGAUGAUGUGGUUUAAUUCGAUGCAACGCGAAAACCUUACCACCUUUGACAUGGCAGGAAUCCUAAAGAGAUUUGGGAGUGCUCGAAAGAGAACCUGCACACAGGUGCUGCAUGGCUGUCGUCAGCUCGUGUCGUGAGAUGUUGGGUUAAGUCCCGCAACGAGCGCAACCCUUGCCAUUAGUUGCUACGAAAGGGCACUCUAAUGGGACUGCCGGUGACAAACCGGAGGAAGGUGGGGAUGACGUCAAGUCCUCAUGGCCCUUAUGGGUAGGGCUUCACACGUCAUACAAUGGUCGGUACAGAGGGUUGCCAAGCCGCGAGGCGGAGCCAAUCCCACAAAGCCGAUCGUAGUCCGGAUUGUUCUCUGCAACUCGAGAGCAUGAAGUCGGAAUCGCUAGUAAUCGCAGGUCAGCAUACUGCGGUGAAUACGUUCCCGGGUCUU